Molecule: long non-coding RNA, 816 nt
Organism: Papaver somniferum (opium poppy)
Lineage: Eukaryota; Viridiplantae; Streptophyta; Magnoliopsida; Ranunculales; Papaveraceae
Exons: 3
Source: RefSeq, a predicted model, not a curated record
AAUUUUGUAAUUUAAAUAUGGGUUUUUAUAUGGGUUACAAGUAUGUUUUAGGGGAUUAUGGUGUGGGGUUGUUUUGAUCUCCGGUAACGGUUGAUACUGGUAUUAUGGCUUUGCCUGCUACUAUGAAGGUUCUUGGACUUGUCCCAGGGAUAUACUAAUGAUAAUAUUCAUGGCGUUUUUGUAAUGAUAUUAUGAGUUUUCGAUCGAGAUAUUGCUGAGGUUUAGUAAAGCACGGGAAAUAGUUUCUUACGGAGAGCUUAUGAGAGACACAUUUGGAAAGUAUGCGAGGAUUUCAUUGCAGGCUUGUGUAUUUAGCAAUAGCCAUCACCGAGAUCUUUUCGAGGGAUUAGGAGGCUGCCAAAGAAGUUAGAUAAGCUAGUCGGUUAGCUGUUCACAAUGUGGGAGUGCUUAUCGUGUACAUGAUUAUCAUCGGUGAUAUAAUUUCUGGAACAUCUGCAAGUGGAACACAUCACUCUGGAUGGUUCGCUGUGCAUUGGUGGAAUGUGCGGUUCUUUGUGUUGCUUUUCACCACACUUGGUGUAUUUUCCCCACUAGCAUUCAUUAAGCGUGUGUAAGCGGGAAGCAACCUUUUUGCUUUAGCUUGUCUUUCAGAACCUUUGCUUGAAGUCCAGGUUUGAAACUUUUUUGAAGAUGUGGGGAAAUGACAUGGAUGAUUGCAAUCAAUCUGUCAGAAUUUUUCUUUGCGGCAAGAAUCUAGACAACAACAUAAUCACCGAUAUCCUUUUGAGCAGUUACAUCGCCUUUCUGUAACAACCGGAGGAUUAUAUCCAUUAACAACAUAAAUCCAUGAUUGAA